Nycticebus coucang (slow loris) is the source of this 946-nucleotide long non-coding RNA. RefSeq lists it as uncharacterized. The transcript is spliced from 3 exons. The record is from RefSeq and is a predicted model, not a curated record. NCBI's taxonomy places the organism in Eukaryota, Metazoa, Chordata, Mammalia, Primates, Lorisidae.
GGAAGUCCCAAGGAGCUGCCUUGCCCGCUAGUGUCCUGUCCCGUUGGGCGUGUGAGGAAGCGCGGACUCAGUCGCCUUCUCCAAACGAGACUCCUAGGCACAGCCCGGAGAGGCCGGGAUGGUGGUGCCUGACGCAGGCUGUGCCAGUCCAAGUUCUUCACCGAACUUUUUGAACUUGAAAUUGGGAGAUAAAACCAGAACCUUUGUGGCAGAAAUCUGUGAGUUGUGAGGCCUGAGCUUGUCCUGUGUCCCUGCCAGUUGACAGGGAGGAAGAAGCAGGCUGACAGUGUGGAAGCUGGCGAGUGCAGAGUCCGGCUGGCUUUCAGGGCUUGCUGCAAGUGUUCCUGAGGCUCAGCUUUGUCCUGACCUUCCUGCAGGGGCCCAAGGCUUCCUGUACCCAGUUCCUAAGGCUGCUGUGGCAUCUGUUGGUGCAGAAAGUCAACAGCAUCCUGAACCUCUUGAAAAAGAAUUGAGAUGGUCCUGUCUUGAUCAGACCAGACACUGACAGAACCUUAUAGCUAUCAGCUGAGUCAGAUUCAUCCGUCCACGCAUCCAUCCAUCCACUCACUCACAUGCUUUCUGAACCACUAUUGUGUGCUAGGAAGUGUGCUGGGAGCUUUUAAAGAAUUACUCUGACUCAGGAUAUGAAUUUGGAACAAUCUCCAAAAUACCAUAUAAGUGAAAAAAGCAAGCUUCAGAACACUGUGUAUAGAAUACUACCAUUUGUAUUAAAAAUAGAUAUAUAAAUAUACAUAUUUAUAAACUUGUAAAUGCAUAGAAUUGCUCUGAAAGGAUACACAAGGUACAGAGAACAGUGAUUAACUCUGGAGAAGGGCCUGGGGGUGACCUCCAUGGGGAAGCUCAUGGUUUACUGUACACCUUUUUGUAUUGUGGAAUGACUUAACAUGUAUAUGUAUUAAUUUUUCAAAACAAAAAAAAAAUAAAA